AGACUGCGCUGUCAUCUUUAGUCCAUAGUUUUCCACCCGCGAUCCGUUAUCACCAUAGACAUAAAUAGAGGUAGACGCGCAAGAAAUGCGGCUGCCAUCUUGAACCGGUCGUACUCCCAGUUGCGCAGCUGAAGACAGCGAGAUGCCAGAGCGCUGUGCAGCAUAUUCAUGCUCAAAUCUGCGGACCAUCGCAAACAGGGCUCGGUAGGAUUACUUUUCACAAGUGCUGUGCAAGCUCCUAAGGUGUAGACAGUCACACACAUCGACCGGGAGGAGACUGGAACAGAGGGUGUUUUUCUGCUUGGGGAACUCAUUGAGGAGACACAGUUUGGCAUCGACAACCAUCGUUCUGACUUGUUGUCAUUGGUUGUGUCUGUGUUUCUGAGGAUAAGGCUGCACCACGUUGCCAAACUCAACAGUCCUAUCAGGGGUUUUCGCUCAUGCAAAGCUUUCGUGUGUGUCUGUGUGUUGGGCUGCUAAAUGUCAAGAGGGACAAAUAUAAAAAGCUUCAAGCACACUGGAGAUAUCAUUUAAUAAUAAAUUGUAUUGGUUCAAAUGAUUAAAAUAUCUGACUUUACUCUCA
Molecule: long non-coding RNA, 583 nt
Organism: Micropterus dolomieu (smallmouth bass)
Lineage: Eukaryota; Metazoa; Chordata; Actinopteri; Centrarchiformes; Centrarchidae
Exons: 2
Source: RefSeq, a predicted model, not a curated record